This 76-nucleotide transfer RNA is filed under the name Erysipelotrichaceae bacterium. RNAcentral describes it as "tRNA-Phe". It matches the Rfam family "tRNA". From Rfam's summary of the family: Transfer RNA (tRNA) molecules are approximately 80 nucleotides in length. Their secondary structure includes four short double-helical elements and three loops (D, anti-codon, and T loops). The record is from RNAcentral. Lineage: Bacteria; Bacillati; Bacillota; Erysipelotrichia; Erysipelotrichales; Erysipelotrichaceae.
GGAUGGGUGACCGACGUGGUGAAGGUGGCAGUCUGAAAAACUGCAGAUAUUGGUUCGACUCCAAUCCCAUCCACCA